Molecule: long non-coding RNA, 936 nt
Filed under: Coffea arabica (coffee)
Lineage: Eukaryota; Viridiplantae; Streptophyta; Magnoliopsida; Gentianales; Rubiaceae
Description: long non-coding RNA (CARA_LNC006893)
Source: RNAcentral
GAAGGCUCUGAUUACCACUUGUCAGGAUUUAACCUGAUAAUUUCUCAGAAGAAGAAAUAAUAAGAGGGAAAUAGGAAGGGAAGAACAUGAAUUGAGAGAAAAUGAGGGAAGUAAGGGAAAUCUUAUUGAGAAUAUUUCUGUAAUGAAUCUUGUCUGCCAAGCCUUUCCUAUACUUGGCUAUUUAUAGAAAUUUCCUACACCUCCAUGCAACGUGACUGAAGCUGACAACUAACCAUGCAACUAACUAUAACAAACUGCAACAGAAUUCCCAACUAACUUCUUAAGUGCAACGACACCGUAUGUGCCAGAAGUCUGAGCUGCCUUCAAAACGACUCCGCAUUCCCCAAAGCUACGUCGCUUUACCUAGUGUUCCUGACAGCGUACUCCAGGGUUUAGCUGACUGCCUGUCUGACUCUAGUCAGGACUCACUACAAUACACUCCCAAAGUAAUAUUUACUCCAUCAAUUCGAACAUAACAUUCAUAGUUAUAUAUGAAGCAACAGGAUUAAAGUAAGAAUUUAUCCACUAAUUCCCAUAGUACAAGAUUGUCUACAAUAAAUACAAAAUAGAGACUUUAGGUUCAAGCUAUUGCUAUCUCAUCUUCUUUCGCCCUCAUAUCCCGUAAGAAAAACAAACUAAAGUGUUGAGUUUACACCCUGUGAAGUUCCAAGUAGGCAAUAAAAAAACAAACAAUCAUUUGUCAACCACAAUAUCAAUCUUAUAAUAGCAAAACAAAAUCCAAGUCUCAAUAGCAACUUUUGAAAUAAAAUAACACAAUUCAUUAAAAGGAUGCAAGAUCACUAUAGAAGCCAAUUCGAUAUCACUGCACACUCUGCCAAUCACCCCUUAUAUCCUCCAACAUAGUAAACAAUCCCCUUCAAUUAGUACUCGUUUCAAUAAUCAGCAUACUACAAGAUAAUACUAGGGAUGGCAACG